GGGAGGAAAAGAAACUAACAAGGAUUUUCUUAGUAGCGGCGAGCGAAAAGAAAAUAGUUCAGCACUAAGUCACUUUGUCUUUAUGGCAAAUGUGAGAUGCAGUGUAUGGAAUGUCAAAUUUCUAGUAUGAGAAAUUAACGAUUUAAGUCCUUCUUAAAUGAGGCCAUUUACCCAAAGAGGGUGCCAGGCCCGUAUAACGUUAAUGAUUACUAGAUGGCAUUUCCAAAGAGUCGUGUUGCUUGAUAGUGCAGCACUAAGUGGGUGGUAAACUCCAUCUAAAACUAAAUAUAACCAUGAGACCGAUAGUAAACAAGUACCGUGAGGGAAAGUUGAAAAGAACUCUGAAUAGAGAGUUAAAUAGUACGUGAAACUGCUUAGAGGUUAAGCCCGAUGAACCUGAAUAUCCGUUAUGGAAAAUUCAUCAUUAUGAUUGUAAUAUUAAUAAUAUUAAAAUAAUGGUGUGCAUUUUUUCUAUAAAGGACAUUGUAACCUAUUAACAUAAAAAUAUUUAUCACAAGAUCGUUGGCUUAAGUUUAUUCGAAUUAUUUUGCUUGCAAUUUAAUACAGAAUAAAUGCUUUCGAUUUGAUAAAGUGUUGAUAGAUUUAUUAUAAUAUAGUGCUUAAAUAUUUAUAUUUUAUAAUAGCAUAUUAAUCAUUGAUUUUUAUGUUUAUUAUAUGCACUUAUAUGAUUAACAAUGCGAAAGAUUCAGGAUACCUUCGGGACCCGUCUUGAAACACGGACCAAGGAGUCUAACAUAUUUGCAAGUUAUUGGGAAUGAAAACCUAAUAGCGAAAUUAACAUAACUUAAUUAUGGGAUUAGUUUUUAGCCUAUUUAUAGUCUAUUAAUUCAAUCCCGGGGCGUUCUAUACAGUUAUGUAUAAUAAUAUUUAUAUUAUUUAUACCUCUAACUAGAGCGUACCUUGAGCAUAUAUGCUGUGACCCGAAAGAUGGUGAACUAUACUUGAUCAGGUUGAAGUCAGGGGAAACCCUGAUGGAAGACCGAAACAG
Molecule: ribosomal RNA, 1009 nt
Filed under: Auchmeromyia bequaerti
Lineage: Eukaryota; Metazoa; Arthropoda; Insecta; Diptera; Calliphoridae
Description: eukaryotic LSU rRNA
Rfam family: Eukaryotic large subunit ribosomal RNA
Source: RNAcentral